This 497-nucleotide ribosomal RNA is filed under the name uncultured bacterium. Its description in RNAcentral is "partial 16S ribosomal RNA". It matches the Rfam family "Bacterial small subunit ribosomal RNA", at positions 28 to 507 of the family's 1533-position model. The record is from RNAcentral.
GAUGAACGCUGGCGGCGUGCCUAAUACAUGCAAGUCGAGCGAACAGACGAGGAGCUUGCUCCUCUGACGUUAGCGGCGGACGGGUGAGUAACACGUGGAUAACCUACCUAUAAGACUGGGAUAACUUCGGGAAACCGGAGCUAAUACCGGAUAAUAUAUUGAACCGCAUGGUUCAAUAGUGAAAGACGGUUUUGCUGUCACUUAUAGAUGGAUCCGCGCCGCAUUAGCUAGUUGGUAAGGUAACGGCUUACCAAGGCAACGAUGCGUAGCCGACCUGAGAGGGUGAUCGGCCACACUGGAACUGAGACACGGUCCAGACUCCUACGGGAGGCAGCAGUAGGGAAUCUUCCGCAAUGGGCGAAAGCCUGACGGAGCAACGCCGCGUGAGUGAUGAAGGUCUUCGAAUCGUAAAACUCUGUUAUUAGGGAAGAACAAAUGUGUAAGUAACUAUGAACGUCUUGACGGUACCUAAUCAGAAAGCCACGGCUAACUACGUG